This 484-nucleotide ribosomal RNA is filed under the name uncultured bacterium. Its description in RNAcentral is "partial 16S ribosomal RNA". It matches the Rfam family "Bacterial small subunit ribosomal RNA", at positions 28 to 523 of the family's 1533-position model. The record is from RNAcentral.
GACGAACGCUGGCGGCGUGCUUAACACAUGCAAGUCGAACGAUGAAGCUGGAGCUUGCUCUAGCGGAUUAGUGGCGAACGGGUGAGUAACACGUGAGCAAUCUGCCCUUGACUCUGGGAUAACUGCGGGAAACUGUAGCUAAUACCGGAUACUUUCACCGGGGGGCAUCCUCUGGUGAUGAAAGAAUUUCGGUCAAGGAUGAGCUCGCGGCCUAUCAGCUUGUUGGUGAGGUAACGGCUCACCAAGGCGACGACGGGUAACCGGCCUGAGAGGGUGACCGGUCACAGUGGGACUGAGACACGGACCAGACUCCUACGGGAGGCAGCAGUGGGGAAUAUUGCACAAUGGGCGCAAGCCUGAUGCAGCAACGCCGCGUGAGGGAUGAAGGCCUUCGGGUUGUAAACCUCUUUUAGCAGGGAAGAAGCGAAAGUGACGGUACCUGCAGAAAAAGCACCGGCCAACUACGUGCCAGCAGCCGCCGCCG